UCCAGGUUAUCCCUGGCGGUCUCCUGAGAGUGCACCCUUGCGGGUUAGCAACACAGGACAAGGGUUGCGCUCGUUGCGGGACAUAACCCAACACCUCACGGCACGAGCUGACGACAGCCGUGCAGCACCUGCACAGGCUCCCUUGCGGGUCCCUUGGCUUUCGCCGCGGUACCACCUGCAUGUCAAGUCCGGGUAAGGUUCUUCGCGUUGCAUCGAAUUAAACCACACGCUCCGCUGCUUGUGCGGGCCCCCGUCAAUUCCUUUGAGUUUUAGCCUUGCGGCCGUACUCCCCAGGCGGGGCACUUAAUGCGUUAGCUUCGGCACGGAAGGAGUCGACACCUCCCACACCUAGUGCCCAUCGUUUACGGCGUGGACUAC
This 378-nucleotide unclassified non-coding RNA is filed under the name uncultured bacterium. RNAcentral's name for it is "contains 16S-23S intergenic spacer region". The record is from RNAcentral.